GAGAUGUCAGUAGAUAGUCCUUAAAGCAACAACAGAAACGACUAUCUUUUAUGUUACUUCCUGAAAGUGGUUCCAACAUGAUAAGAGGCAACAUGGGCUCUCCUAACCAGACCUGUGACAGUGGUGUAUCCAUGGACCUCUUCCUGCACUAUUCUCUUAUUCCAUCGGGAAACUGGAAUGGACAUUUUGAUCAGGCAUGGGGGACGUGCUUGCCUGGCUACCAAUCCACAAUGCGCCGGCCAAACGCCACGGCCACUAUCGUUUCUUCUCCACGUUGAGACUGGCUAUGCUUCUUCCCCGACGACUUCUGGAAUGCGAACACAUUCAAACCGUUCUGAUUGGUCCCAGAAACCAAUGGGUUCGUCCAGAGCUGGCCUACACGAAUCAUGAAUCACGUCAUUUUGACGU
Long non-coding RNA from Coregonus clupeaformis (lake whitefish), 408 nucleotides. RefSeq lists it as uncharacterized. Lineage: Eukaryota; Metazoa; Chordata; Actinopteri; Salmoniformes; Salmonidae. The transcript is spliced from 3 exons. The record is from RefSeq and is a predicted model, not a curated record.